AGUGAACGCUGGCGGUAUGCCUAACACAUGCAAGUCGAACGGCAGCACAGUAAGAGCUUGCUCUUACGGGUGGCGAGUGGCGGACGGGUGAGGAAUACAUCGGAAUCUACUUUUUCGUGGGGGAUAACGUAGGGAAACUUACGCUAAUACCGCAUACGACCUACGGGUGAAAGCAGGGGAUCUUCGGACCUUGCGCGAUUGAAUGAGCCGAUGUCGGAUUAGCUAGUUGGCGGGGUAAAGGCCCACCAAGGCGACGAUCCGUAGCUGGUCUGAGAGGAUGAUCAGCCACACUGGAACUGAGACACGGUCCAGACUCCUAAGGGAGGCAGCAGUGGGGAAUAUUGGACAAUGGGCGCAAGCCUGAUCCAGCCAUACCGCGUGGGUGAAGAAGGCCUUCGGGUUGUAAAGCCCUUUUGUUGGGAAAGAAAAGCAGCAGGUUAAUACCCCGCUGUUCUGACGGUACCCAAAGAAUAAGCACCGGCUAACUUCGUG
RNAcentral lists this ribosomal RNA (492 nucleotides) under uncultured bacterium. RNAcentral's name for it is "partial 16S ribosomal RNA". It matches the Rfam family "Bacterial small subunit ribosomal RNA", at positions 29 to 507 of the family's 1533-position model. The record is from RNAcentral.